RNAcentral lists this ribosomal RNA (468 nucleotides) under uncultured bacterium. RNAcentral describes it as "partial 16S ribosomal RNA". It matches the Rfam family "Bacterial small subunit ribosomal RNA", at positions 28 to 507 of the family's 1533-position model. The record is from RNAcentral.
GACGAACGCUGGCGGCGUGCUUAACACAUGCAAGUCGAACGGAAAGGCCCUGCUUUUGUGGGGUGCUCGAGUGGCGAACGGGUGAGUAACACGUGAGUAACCUGCCCUUGACUUUGGGAUAACUUCAGGAAACUGGGGCUAAUACCGUAUAGGAGCUCCUGCUGCAUGGUGGGGGUUGGAAAGUUUCGGCGGGUGGGGCUGGACUGGCGGCUUAUCAGCUUGUUGGUGGGGUAGUGGCUUACCAAGGCAUUGACGGGUAGCCGGCCUGAGAGGGUGACCGGCCACAUGGGGACUGAGAGACGGCCCAGACUCCUACGGGAGGCAGCAGUGGGGAAUAUUGCACAAUGGGCGGAAGCCUGAUGCAGCAACGCCGCGUGCGUGAUGACGGCCUUCGGGUUGUAAACCGCUUUCGCCUGUGACGAAGCGUGAGUGACGGUAAUGGGUAAAGAAGCACCGGCUAACUACGUG